UAGGGAAUCUUCGGCAAUGGGGGCAACCCUGACCGAGCAACGCCGCGUGAGUGAAGAAGGUUUUCGGAUCGUAAAGCUCUGUUGUAAGUCAAGAACGAGUGUGAGAGUGGAAAGUUCACACUGUGACGGUAGCUUACCAGAAAGGGACGGCUAACUACGUGCCAGCAACCGCGGUAAUACGUAGGUCCCGAGCGUUGUCCGGAUUUAUUGGGCGUAAAGCGAGCGCAGGCGGUUUGAUAAGUCUGAAGUUAAAGGCUGUGGCUCAACCAUAGUUCGCUUUGGAAACUGUCAAACUUGAGUGCAGAAGGGGAGAGUGGAAUUCCAUGUGUAGCGGUGAAAUGCGUAGAUAUAUGGAGGAACACCGGUGGCGAAAGCGGCUCUCUGGUCUGUAACUGACGCUGAGGCUCGAAAGCGUGGGGAGCGAACAGGAUUAGAUACCCUGGUAGUCCACGCCGUAAACGAUGAGUGCUAGGUGUUGGAUCCUUUCCGGGAUUCAGUGCCGCAGCUAACGCAUUAAGCACUCCGCCUGGGGAGUACGACCGCAAGGUUG
RNAcentral lists this ribosomal RNA (550 nucleotides) under uncultured bacterium. RNAcentral describes it as "bacterial SSU rRNA". It matches the Rfam family "Bacterial small subunit ribosomal RNA", at positions 355 to 896 of the family's 1533-position model. The record is from RNAcentral.